UAGGGAAUCUUCCACAAUGGGCGAAAGCCUGAUGGAGCGACGCCGCGUGUGUGAUGAAGGGUUUCGGCUCGUAAAACACUGUUGUAAGAGAAGAAUGGCAUUGAGAGUAACUGUUCAAUGUGUGACGGUAUCUUACCAGAAAGGAACGGCUAAAUACGUGCCAG
This 164-nucleotide ribosomal RNA is filed under the name uncultured bacterium. RNAcentral describes it as "partial 16S rRNA". It matches the Rfam family "Bacterial small subunit ribosomal RNA", at positions 355 to 511 of the family's 1533-position model. The record is from RNAcentral.